Molecule: ribosomal RNA, 497 nt
Filed under: uncultured bacterium
Lineage: Bacteria
Description: partial 16S ribosomal RNA
Rfam family: Bacterial small subunit ribosomal RNA
Source: RNAcentral
GAUGAACGCUGGCGGCGUGCCUAAUACAUGCAAGUCGAGCGAACGGACGAGAAGCUUGCUUCUCUGAUGUUAGCGGCGGACGGGUGAGUAACACGUGGAUAACCUACCUAUAAGACUGGGAUAACUUCGGGAAACCGUAGCUAAUACCGGAUAAUAUUUUGAACCGCAUGGUUCAAAAGUGAAAGACGGUCUUGCUGUCACUUAUAGAUGGAUCCGCGCUGCAUUAGCUAGUUGGUAAGGUAACGGCUUACCAAGGCAACGAUGCAUAGCCGACCUGAGAGGGCGAUCGGCCACACUGGAACUGAGACACGGUCCAGACUCCUACGGGAGGCAGCAGUAGGGAAUCUUCCGCAAUGGGCGAAAGCCUGACGGAGCAACGCCGCGUGAGUGAUGAAGGUCUUCGGAUCGUAAAACUCUGUUAUUAGGGAAGAACAUAUGUGUAAGUAACUGUUCACAUCUUGACGGUACCUAAUCAGAAAGCCACGGCUAACUACGUG